This 2725-nucleotide long non-coding RNA is filed under the name Oryza brachyantha (malo sina). RNAcentral describes it as "long non-coding RNA (OBRA_LNC003400)". Lineage: Eukaryota; Viridiplantae; Streptophyta; Magnoliopsida; Poales; Poaceae. The record is from RNAcentral.
AUCUACACCGAGACGAUUCCGCUACAUCUGCGCGUCUAGUGGUAAUCCUGUGAUCUAUAACAACAAUAGUUCCUAUUUUAUGGGGUAGAAAAUUUUGAUUUGUGCUAGCAAAGCCUUCCACUUAUCCCUACACCAGCAAGCAGCAACCCCAAGGCCUAACACUGCUGGAUAUGGCAUGCCAAGGGAUGGUGAGGUGUCGAGGAAGAGGGCAAUCACAAUAGGAUGGUGAGGUCCUUGGUCUUAGCUUCUUCUAACAAUGAAGGCGGCAAAGGGCGAUGCUGGGAGGAUGGCGAGGGCCUCACCCUAAGGCUGCUAGACCAUGAUUAUGAGAGCGAUGGGUGAGAGAGACGAUAAGAGUGGUAGGGGUCUUUUAUUUUUAUGGCUCAUUAUAUUGGGCAUAGGUUUAUAAAGGUGGUCCUCUUACGUGGGUCGCUUGUAAAAAUAGUUAUUUUACCAUGCGACGUGUAACUAGGAUAUCUAAGUGUGUUUUACAGGGAUGUCUUCUUUUAUACCAGUUGUAAAAUUAGGAGGGUAUAAAAUAAAUUUUUUAGUAGUGUAUAGGCUGCAACAUCUCUUUGUUGACCGCAGGUAUAUACCAUGACACAUUUUCUUUUAUAUAUACUUUGUGCUUAUCCAGUGCACUUUUUAGCGCACCAUUCAGAGAAUCAGAGCAGUGUGUUGAUAGUGUUACCUCUUGUUUGAGAAUUCUUUCUAUCCUUGCGAAGAAAAGGUAGGAACUGUCUAGCUUUCAGUCAUUUUAGUUGUACAAAAAUGCUCAAUUGAUGUAUAGUUUAGCAAACUGCUUUCGGAAAGAGAAUAAUUUAAUGCAUUACAUCAUGUUUACUAUUUGAACAAGUGAAUACAAUCAAUAACAAAAUCCAAUUGGGUGCCGAUUGUAGCAUGAGCCCCCGAUAGCAACAAGUAUAAUUGUCUAUUCCGAUACCAGACCACGUGAAGAAACAAACUGCUAGAUUUGCUGAACAUUGGACGGCUGGACGACUCCUACUGGUCGUCCUGGGAGUUGCGACGUCAGUGCAUCGAUCAGCAUGCUUGUUGCACAGAAACAACGGACAAGUGUCAUUGCAUCCAAAGGAACAGCAAAACAAUUCAGUUUCCUAGCAAUAUCGUACUCAUGUUUUGUCUGAAUUCUUAAACAUGGUGAGCUUGUCGGCAUGUUUAAUUUGUCUGCAACUUUUUUUUAUAUAACAAACCAUUGGCAGAAGUAGGAUGAUAAACUUCUAUAUAGAAAUAUUUUGUAAAAAUACACCGUUAAGUGGCUCAAAAAAUGCAUGCGUAAAAGCAGAGAAAAAUCUGAUAAAAUUUUAGAGUAAAGAACGCAGCCCGAUAGUCCUAUAUCUGAAAAUAAUGGACAACAACAGGUUGCCUAGACUCCUGACAUCAUGUUUAAUCUUGUGUGGAGAGCUAUCAAUUCGAUAAUCUGUAUGUAGUCCGUCAAAAAAAAUAGUUUUCUAACGGGUGAUUAUUUCUCUUUUUAUGUCAUAUGUGUAAACAAAAAAUAAUUUAUGAAUAAAAUUUUUAUAUUCAUAUACCAAUGCUAGAAAAUAAAUUUCGGUGAAAAAACCCCAAAAUCAACUCUAAAUUUAAGGUAGAAAAUUCAAAUUUUGACUUAUAAGCAUAAGGAUAAGUUAUAAAAAUGACGGUGUAGAAACUUAGUAUUUCUGGGAGGAAAGGACCUCAUAAUAAAUACAUGAGGAUAUUUUGUUUGAGUUGAUAAUUUUUUAGAUGUGACAUUGAUCAUUGAAUAUAUUAUUUUCAAUAUUUAUAGUAGUUUGAGGAUGCAGUUUGUAUCUUGUUAUUGUGAGGCCUCUUUGCCUUCUUAAUGUAUACAUUCUUGUACUUAGGUUUUCCCUUUCCGAUCAGCACAUGCCAGUCAAAUCAUUUGAGUUCUCUCUGGAAUCUGCUGUUUAUUUUGUUUCUUCAUUUUGAUGAUUGAGGAAUAAGGAAUUUCUACAAGCAUAUGUAAUCUACUAGUGUGUUCUACAUUCAGUGUUUACUUUUGGUCCAUUGCUGAUUCUCCAUUAUUUUUUGAAAGUUUUAUUAUCUUAGUAAAAUCCUAGGUUUAUCUCAAAGUUUGAUUAGGCCACGUGGACCAAUAAACUUGCGGGCAAGCCGCCAUCUUGAGAUUUUUAUAAAUUUUAUGCAUAUUAAAGCUACUUUCCUUGUCACAUUUUGUCAAUCUAAACUAAAUACAAUUAUACAAAGCCCUACAGAGAUGGACCGGCUAUUGGGUGAAUAGCCAUCCAGGUUCAAUGAACCUAAUAAUAUUUCUAGUAGGCCACCCCAAUCCGCUGCACUGUUACGGCGGCACAUUGCUUGUACUCAUCCCAUUUUUAAAUAAUUAAAAGUGGAACUGUUUAUUCUUCAACAUUAACGUUUCAUCAUUUUAUGAGAAAAACAAAUACUUUAAAGGGUGCCCUCGCAAGCAGAAAACUUUCUUAUACUGUGAUCUACUCCAUCAUUCUAAAAUUUAAACAUUUCUAAUAUUUAAAUUUUAUACCACAAUAUUACCGUGUCCAUUACCAUUGUUCUCAUUAUUUUAAUGAUUACAUAACCAAUCAAAUGCUUUUGCAAAGGAAAUCUGAACAAUUUAAAAUUCAAAAACUGACCACUAAAAUGACUAAUAGGUAAUCUUUUGCCACAGUCUUAAUACUCCCUUCAUUACACGAUAUAAGACUUUUAAAUUUUGCAUCAAUUCCUAUGGAUG